This 385-nucleotide ribosomal RNA is filed under the name uncultured eukaryote. RNAcentral describes it as "partial 18S ribosomal RNA". It matches the Rfam family "Eukaryotic small subunit ribosomal RNA", at positions 592 to 976 of the family's 1831-position model. The record is from RNAcentral.
CAAUAGCGUAUAUUAAAGUUGUUGCAGUUAAAAAGCUCGUAGUUGGAUUUCUGGUGGGAGCGAUCGGUCUGGCGCUCAGCGCGAGUACUUGCAUCGUCUCCGGCCAUCCUUGGGGAGAGUCUGUCUGGCAUUAGGUUGUCGGGCAGAGGAUCCUCAUCGUUUACUGUGAAAAAAUUAGAGUGUUUAAAGCAGGCGUUGUGUUUUGAAUACAUUAGCAUGGAAUAAUAAGAUACGACUUUGGUGGUCUAUUUUGUUGGUUUGCACACCAGAGUAAUGAUUAAUAGGGACAGUUGGGGGUAUUCAUAUUUGAGCGUCAGAGGUGAAAUUCUUGGAUCGCUGAAAGAUGAGCUUUGGCGAAAGCAUUUACCAUGGAUGUUUUCAUUAA